ACUCUUCUCACGACUCUUUUUAUAAAAACCACAUGUUGAUACAUCAAUUGGGCCUCAGUGAUCAACCGGCCCAUUUCAAGGAAUAACGACCCAGCCCCGACCAUCACUUUAGAACUCGAGCCGGCCCACCAGGCCGAAGCCCGGCCUGGUCAGGAUGUGAGUUCGGCUGCGUAGAAAAGGGGCACUCUCGAGAAUUCACCUUGCGUACCCUACUAUACGGACGGGUAUAAAUAAGGAAUAGAAAGUCUCGGGAAAGGGGACUUUUUCGAGACCUGGAGAAAGGAUAGCACAAGUCAGCUCGUCGGGAGAAGUCUGCUCGUCAAGAUCAGCCAGUUCGCCCAGAAGAGCCAGCUCAUCGACACAAGUCAGCUCGUCGGGAGAAGUCUGCUCGUCAAGAUCAGCCAACUCGCCCAGAAGAGCCAGCUCAUCGACACAAGUCAGCUCGUCGGGAGAAGUCUGCUCGUCAAGAUCAGCCAGCUCGCCCAGAAGAGCCAGCUCAUCGGUACAAGUCAGCUCGUCGAGAGAAGACAUCUCGUCAAGACAAGCCAACUUAGCAAGAAGAGCCAGCUCACCAGAACCACCAGCUCGAAACGGCAUCGCCUCGUAGCGCCCUCAACUACGUUCUCAGUUCGCAAUAAGCCUUUCAGCCCGUCAAUUGCCCAGCUUCAAGUUCAGCUCGUGGAUUAGAGAUUGAUUCUUCACCUUCCCCAGAGACUCACCCGUACUUGUUUAAUUCGUGCAUUAACACCACACAU
RNAcentral lists this small RNA (755 nucleotides) under Arabidopsis thaliana (thale cress). RNAcentral's name for it is "ATSL298790". The record is from RNAcentral. Lineage: Eukaryota; Viridiplantae; Streptophyta; Magnoliopsida; Brassicales; Brassicaceae.